UAGGGAAUCUUCGGCAAUGGGACGAAAGUCUGACCGAGCAACGCCGCGUGAGUGAAGUAAGGUUUUCGGAUCGUAAAACUCUGUUGGUAGAGAAGAACGUUGGUGAGAGUGGAAAGCUCAUCAAGUGACGGUAACUACCCAGAAAGGGACGGCUAACUACGUACCAG
This 167-nucleotide ribosomal RNA is filed under the name uncultured bacterium. RNAcentral's name for it is "partial 16S rRNA". It matches the Rfam family "Bacterial small subunit ribosomal RNA", at positions 355 to 511 of the family's 1533-position model. The record is from RNAcentral.